GAAGCCUAGGGGAGCCAGUAAAGAUUAAAUGUGCUUCUCAAAGGCAGCCACUUCAUGCUGCUAUGUCGAAAGGGCCAUUAUUAUUAUUAUUAUAUUUUAAUAGUAAAAGAGAAAAGGAGAGAGGUUGAGCGAGCGAGAGAGAAGCUAGGUGUGAUGAUGACAGACUAGCUUUUCUGAGAGGAAAAGGAAAAGGGAAGGGAGAGAAAAAGGAGAGCCUCUGAGCUCAACGGAGGAUUGUGCCUGAGAAGAACCUACAGAGAUGUGACUGGAGUGAUUUGCACCCGGAUGCCUAGACCCGCCAUCUGCUCAAAGACUGCUCAGAAAGCCCUCCCAUGCAUUCCCCCCGCUGCAUAUCAGCCCACUCUGCCUGCAGCUGCUGUCUGCAGGACUUCAUAUCUAUGCCACACUGUUUAAAAGCUGUGCUUCAAGAAAUCACAAAAACAUUUUCCUGCACCUACUACACAGCCUGAGUGCAGCAUAAGUUGACCUUGCUUGCUAAGAAAUGGGGCAAGAAAUGCUUUUUUGUGUGUGUCACGUCUGUUUGUUUUUCAAGUAAGAGAGGAAAGCAUUAGGCAGAUGGAAUGUACAUGUGAGGAUGAGGAGACAGAAAACAAGUAGCCCUUUCCAUCAAGAUAGAGGGUUUUCUGGGAUCGCUGGCUCUUGAAUGUCACUCCUGAUUUCUCUUUCCAAGGCACUGUACCACCAGCCUACUGAGAUUGUGUGGGAGCUUUCAUGGAGGUUGUAUUUCACUAAUGAAAAUAAAUUUGUGCAUAAUCUG
This 778-nucleotide long non-coding RNA is filed under the name Pongo abelii (Sumatran orangutan). Its description in RNAcentral is "lincRNA". The record is from RNAcentral. Lineage: Eukaryota; Metazoa; Chordata; Mammalia; Primates; Hominidae.